This 896-nucleotide ribosomal RNA is filed under the name uncultured delta proteobacterium. RNAcentral's name for it is "bacterial SSU rRNA". It matches the Rfam family "Bacterial small subunit ribosomal RNA", at positions 64 to 936 of the family's 1533-position model. The record is from RNAcentral. Lineage: Bacteria; Deltaproteobacteria.
GCACGAGAAAGGGCUUCGGCCCCGGUACAGUGGCGCACGGGUGAGUAACACGUGGGUAACCUUCCCCGGAGUGGUGGAUAACCUGCCGAAAGGCGGGCUAAUACAGCAUACGACCUUUGGUCUUCGGACUGGCGGUGAAAGCAGGCCUCUAUAUAUAAGCUUGCGCUCCAGGUUGGGCCCGCGGCCCAUCAGCUAGUUGGCGAGGUAAUGGCUCACCAAGGCAACGACGGGUAGCUGGUCUGAGAGGAUGGCCAGCCACACUGGAACUGAGACACGGUCCAGACUCCUACGGGAGGCAGCAGUGGGGAAUCUUGCGCAAUGGACGAAAGUCUGACGCAGCGACGCCGCGUGGGCGACGAAGGCCUUCGGGUUGUAAAGCCCUGGUGGGGAGGGACGAACACUGAUUGUUCAAAUAGGGCAGUCAGCUGACGGUACCUCCUUAGCAAGCACCGGCUAACUCUGUGCCAGCAGCCGCGGUAAGACAGAGGGUGCAAACGUUGCUCGGAAUUACUGGGCGUAAAGCGCGUGUAGGUGGCCACGCAAGUCAGGUGUGAAAGCCCAGGGCUCAACCCUGGAAGUGCACAUGAUACUACGUGGCUGGAGUACUGAAGAGGAGAGCGGAAUUCCCGGUGUAGAGGUGAAAUUCGUAGAUAUCGGGAGGAACACCAGUUGGCGAAGGCGGCUCUCUGGGCAGAUACUGACACUGAGACGCGAAAGCGUGGGUAGCAAACAGGAUUAGAUACCCUGGUAGUCCACGCUGUAAACGAUGAGAACUGGGUGUCCGUGGGUAUUGACCCCCGCGGUGCCGAAGCCAACGCGUUAAGUUCUCCGCCUGGGAAGUACGGCCGCAAGGCUAAAACUCAAAGGAAUUGACGGGGGCCCGCACAACCGGUGGA